UUAAGGUGUUAUUAGUUGUGUACACAGGGCUGAGCCGUCAGCCUCAGCAAGCUGCUUUUUGCACCCAACCGGGAACUCCAGUGUGAGCCGGAGACAAAAUCAAGCGCUCCUUUAUGACUGCUACACACCUGCAACUACGGAGGGAAAUUAGACCUUCAUGCUACCACUUGAGGAAGGAGAACCAACAUAGCUGUACAGAAAAUGGACCAAAAGCCUCACUCUCGUCGUCUCGUGAUAGUCAGAGCACAACCUGAUAGAUGUGAGGCUCGUUAUAAGGCGGCCUGUGUAAAGACAGCAAUUGAAGAAAAGGAGUGGACGUCUUCUCUGCAUCAAAAAGGUUUAAUGCAAUCACAACAGUCAUCCAGCGAGAGUGACGAUUCCUUCAUCCUUGGUCCAACACCAGCUGCAGUAAUCCAGGACACGAGCGUGCCAG
This is a long non-coding RNA of Fundulus heteroclitus (mummichog), 433 nucleotides long. RefSeq lists it as uncharacterized. The record is from RefSeq and is a predicted model, not a curated record. The transcript has 3 exons. NCBI's taxonomy places the organism in Eukaryota, Metazoa, Chordata, Actinopteri, Cyprinodontiformes, Fundulidae.